This 433-nucleotide ribosomal RNA is filed under the name uncultured bacterium. RNAcentral's name for it is "partial 16S ribosomal RNA". It matches the Rfam family "Bacterial small subunit ribosomal RNA", at positions 29 to 507 of the family's 1533-position model. The record is from RNAcentral.
AACGAACGCUGGCGGCAUGCCUAACACAUGCAAGUCGAACGAGACCUUCGGGUCUGGUGGCGCACGCGUGCGUGACGCGGGGGAACCUGCCCUUAAGUUCGGCAGAACUCCCCGAAAGGGGUGCUAAUACCGGCUCAUAUCUUCCGACCAAAGAUUUAUCGACUUUGGGUGGGCGCGCGAUGUAUUGCCUAGUGGUUAGGGUAAAAGGCUACCAAGGCUACGAUACAUAGCUGGUUAGAGAGGAUGAGCAGCGACACUGGGACGGAGAAACGGCCCAGACUCUUACGGGAGGGAGGAGUGGGGAAUACAGGAAAACGGGGGAAAGGCUGAAGGAGCAAGGACGGGUGAGUGAUGAAGGCCGUAGGGUAGUAAAGUUCGUUUAUCCGGGACGAUAAUGACAGUACCGGGAGAAUAAGCUCCGGCUAACUUCGUG